Molecule: ribosomal RNA, 468 nt
Filed under: uncultured bacterium
Lineage: Bacteria
Description: partial 16S ribosomal RNA
Rfam family: Bacterial small subunit ribosomal RNA
Source: RNAcentral
GACGAACGCUGGCGGCGUGCUUAACACAUGCAAGUCGAACGGAAAGGCCCUGCUUUUGUGGGGUGCUGGAGUGGCGAACGGGGGAGUAACACGUGAGUAACCUGUACUUGACUUUGGGAUAACUUCAGGAAACUUGGGCUAAUACCGGAUAGGAGCUCCUGCUGCAUGGUGGGGGUUGGAAAGGUUCGGCGGUUGGGGAUGGACUGGCGGCUCAUCGGCUUGUUGGUGGGGUAGUGGCUUACCAAGGCUUUGACGGGUAGCCGGCCUGGGAGGAUGACCGGACCAAUUGGGCUUGAGAUAAGACACAGACUAGACCGGUACGCAGCGGUGGGGAGGAGUACACAAGAGGCGGAGCCAUGAUGCGGCACCGCCGCGUGCGGUAAGACAGCAUGCCGGUUGGAAACCGCUGUCGCCUGUGCCGGAGCGUGAGUGACGGUAAUGGGUAAAGAAGCACCGGCUAACUACGUG